This 963-nucleotide ribosomal RNA is filed under the name Triticum aestivum (bread wheat). Its description in RNAcentral is "partial small subunit ribosomal RNA". Lineage: Eukaryota; Viridiplantae; Streptophyta; Magnoliopsida; Poales; Poaceae. The record is from RNAcentral.
AUGGCGGCCACCAGCUUGGACGCCACCCGGAUCCAGCAGCUGCCGUUGGCGGACGGACUUCUCCAAGGGCCAGAGAGUGUCGCCUUCGACGCCCAAGGGCACGGCCCAUAUAGCGGCGUCUCUGACGGCCGCAUUCUCAGGUGGGACGGGGACAAGAUAGGCUGGACCACUUACGCAUAUGGCCCUGGCUAUGACGAAGAUAUGUGCACGGCUUCGAUAUUCCGCUCAGCAACUUCCACGGAGAGUCAGUGUGGCCGGCCGCUCGGUUUACAGUUUCACCACAAGUCUGGGGAUCUAUACGUGGCUGACGCCUACAGGGGACUCAUGCGGAUUGGUCCUGGUGGCGGGGAAGCCACGGUAUUGGUCAAUGCGAUUGAUGAUAAACCUCUCCGCUUCACCAACGGGGUUGACAUCGACCAGGUCACCGGUCAAAUCUACUUCACUGAUAGUUCUAUGAACUAUGACAGGACGCAUCAUGAACUAGUCACAAGAUCAGGGGAUUCAACAGGGCGUCUCAUGAGGUACGACCCACGUACCGGUGACGUCGCGGUCCUCCAAACACGCCUGGCGUAUGCAAACGGCGUCGCUAUCAGCACCGACCGUACGCAUCUAAUCGUCGCAUCUACCGGACCGUGCAAACUGCUGAGGCACUGGAUCAAAGGGAGCAAGGCGGGGACGUCUGAGCCAUUUGCCGAUCUCCCCGGCUACCCCGAUAACGUGAGGCCUGACAGAAGGGGAGGUUACUGGGUGGCGUUACAUGGGGAGAAGAAUGAAUUGCCCUCUCGCCCCAAUAGCCAUUUGCUCGCUGUGAGGAUCGGAGCUGAUGGCAAGAUACUUGAAGAGAUGAGGGGGCCCAAGCGCGUCAAACCCGCUGAGGUGAUGGAAAGAGACAACGGAAAAUUGUACAUAGGCUCUAUUGACUUGCCGUAUGUCGGCAUAGUUACACGCAAGCAGGGAGGCUAA